CAAAGCACAGGAAAAUGAUUGAUGCAAAGGAGGACCCUCUCUGUGGGAGCUAUGCGGCCCAAGGAGAGAUGGCAUUGUGAACCUACCAAGUAAAUGGAGGGCUUGUUUUUGAGAGUCAGGAGUUUCUCACCAUGCCCCUUGGGGCCCUCCACCCUGGAUGGAGGGACACAAAGCUACUGCACUUGAGUCAGACUUCCUGAUUUUUGCCUCGAAACGAAAAGAGAAGCUGGACAGGAGAGACAUAGCUAAGGAUCUAGAAGUUGAUCCUUGAGGCUGCUCCCUGCUGAGCUUUAAUCAACAUACCCUCGCUCCUGCUGGUCUCAGGACAACGCCCUCACUCCCCAGUGCUCCCAAGACUCAAGGGCUCCAAGCCAGAGGCUGGACACAAACACAGCAGAGGAGUGGUGACCGCUACGGAGCGAUGCUCAGAGGCUGACACACAGCUGUAGCGUUCCCGGAAGCUGGAGCAUGAGCGAAGUAGCAGGAUUCUGGUCAAAUGUGCAUUUACAAGAUGAACACGUUCUGGGGGCUGAAGGUACAGCAGGAAUGCUGACGGACGCACUCACCUCAUGGUGACACCAUGGUUCCAAAGCAACAAAACACAUCGUUCACGGACUGCAACCUCUAAAACUGUGGGACAAAACAAACCUUCGCUCUUCGUAAGCUUAUCACCUCAGUUAUUUGUCACAGGAAUGAGAUGCUAGCUCAGCAUGUCAAAUAUAUAUAAAAUAUAUUUGUAAAAAGAGGAAAACUUUGACUUGAUUUAUAGAGAAAGACAUAAACUCAGACGCAGACCUGAACAAGAAAACUAAGACUUCUGGUCCCCAAACACAUGGGAAAGGGUAGGACUGUGGACAUUCGCUGGACAAUGUCAUGCAUACAAGCAACUGGAAACUGACAACCUCAUUCAUUCCUUGAGAAAUACCCACUGAGCAUCUGGGACAGAAAACACAACCCGGUCCUUCUCUAGAAGCUUCCUGGGCAGGAGCUGACUUGAAUAAUCACUCAACUGAACCUACAGUAGUCAUACACAUGUUAGAUGCUAACUUAGCUACUCUAAGACUAACACCGGUUCACUGUGCUCUCUUAAAAAGGACCGGAUUAUUUUUGUAUCUUUGCAUAUUUAUACGCUUAAAUACACAGGCCACCACGGAAUUUUUAAGAAGCAGAAUAUAAAUAUAGAGUUUAAUGAGACAGCAGAUGCAUGAUAUUUCAGCAGUAUACAAGGCCCCCAUAGCACAGCAAACCCUCAGAUUUGGAAGGGCAGCUAGCUCAUGUAAGUUCACCCAAGUGCAUAAAGGAAGGCAGUAAUAGACUCAUCUGCAGGGGAAAGGCAAGAGCUACCCUGCUCGUUAGCUUCGUGACAAGUUCCCUCCCACAGCCUAUGCAAUUCAGUGUCUGUGGCUUACAGCUCCUCUGGUUGCUCAGAAGAGUCAAUCCAUGUGCUUUUACCUAAGGGAUGAGAUGUACGGAAGUGUAAGAUCUGGCCCUGCAGCAUCCAUAAUCAUGAAACAAAGCCAAGCAGCUAUGCUCGAAUACUUUCACACUGAAUAUAGAAUCCUUCAGGGUUUUGCUCACCCACUCUGAUGAUGGCUGGAACAAAGCAACUGCUCUGUUAGUCUUACCUAUUUAUAUCAUCCGAUAGCCUGUGGGAAGUAUAAACCCAAAAACUAUCAUCUUGUUCCCGCUCCAGUUGUAAAUUCUCCAAGCAAGUAGUGGGUGACAUAUGCCACACAUAAUGCUAGGGAUUUCCACAUAUUCCUCAAUCUACUUUUUUAUUCCAAAAGCUGUUUGCAUAUAUGGGUAAGGAAUGGUGCUUGAAAGAUAGAUGGUUGGUGAUCAUCAAUAUAUAAUUUGGGGGAUUUGUUCAAAUUUGCCAUAGCUACACGCAUGGCAAAGAGUGUCAGAGGCACGGUCAUAGUCCGGUGAAAGAGGAGAAUAAACUAGACAAGGAAGGCAUCUAUUACAGGAUACCUUUGGGCUUUCCAAAGCUACAAGAUCCCUAAUGCACCUGUGAAGAAAUAGUGACAAUUUUUAACUUGCCAUAUAAUGUUAAGCUGUUACUAUUUACAUCUUUGUCAGUGGGUUGAGCCAAAUAAAAUUGCUAUUUAUGUAGGUAAAAGUGGUUAACUAUUAGCUAUUUUAUAUUGAUCUACCUAUUUAUCAAUAUAUCAGGAAGAUAUCCCCCCAACUCCCUGUGUCCUGUCCCUGCUCCAAGGGAAAAAUUUAAACUGAUGAGUGAUCAUAAAGAGAGAGUAUGCUACAGGCAUUUAUAAACAAUGGUAGUAAAUUCUGACACUCAGCAUCAAAUUCCUUUAAGUGUUUCUAAAGGAGUCCCACAAGACCCGUUAUGCAAUAUUAGUAAAGAGAGGACCAAGUCAGAAGAAACACCCCUCCAAAAGCCCUUUGGUAAGGGCUUCUGUACAAUCCUCUUGAAGAAACAGAACAAAGCUGCACAGGGAGGUGUUAAUUCCCACUUCCAAGUUCACGCACCCCCAAGCCUCGCAUUAAAGGCAAACACAUGAGGUCUCCGCAGAGAGUGCAGGGGGCAAGCCCUUUUCCUCUUAUUUUCAUCUUCCUUCAGGACAAAAAGAGAGAUUCUGGUCAGUUUCCUGCCAUCUCACUCAACUUUUUGUAAGUGCCCUCCAGUACACACCAACAUGGGAAUCCCUCCCAUUCAUGAAAGCUGCUCCGCAAGAAAACUCAUCUCAAAGUAUUAUCAUCAAUGGGAUCAUUCAGCAGAGGAAAUUACAGUGGUGAAAUCCAGAGAACCAUGGAUGUUUUGGGGUUCUUGGCCAUCUUUGUGCAAAGUGCCUAAUGUCCCUGACACUUGAUUUUCCUUACAAUAAAUGGGAAUAUUACCACUUUC
Molecule: long non-coding RNA, 2869 nt
Organism: Chinchilla lanigera (long-tailed chinchilla)
Lineage: Eukaryota; Metazoa; Chordata; Mammalia; Rodentia; Chinchillidae
Exons: 3
Source: RefSeq, a predicted model, not a curated record